RNAcentral lists this ribosomal RNA (753 nucleotides) under uncultured bacterium. RNAcentral describes it as "bacterial SSU rRNA". It matches the Rfam family "Bacterial small subunit ribosomal RNA", at positions 8 to 778 of the family's 1533-position model. The record is from RNAcentral.
AGAGUUUGAUCAUGGCUCAGGACGAACGCUGGCGGCGUGCUUAACACAUGCAAGUCGAACGGUAAGGCCCCUUCGGGGGUACACGAGUGGCGAACGGGUGAGUAACACGUGGGUAAUCUGCCCUGCACUUCGGGAUAAGCCUGGGAAACUGGGUCUAAUACCGGAUAUGAGCUCCUGCCGCAUGGUGGGGGUUGGAAAGUUUUUCGGUGCAGGAUGAGCCCGCGGCCUAUCAGCUUGUUGGUGGGGUAAUGGCCUACCAAGGCGACGACGGGUAGCCGGCCUGAGAGGGUGAUCGGCCACACUGGGACUGAGACACGGCCCAGACUCCUACGGGAGGCAGCAGUGGGGAAUAUUGCACAAUGGGCGGAAGCCUGAUGCAGCGACGCCGCGUGGGGGAUGACGGUCUUCGGAUUGUAAACCCCUUUCAGUAGGGACGAAGCGCAAGUGACGGUACCUGCAGAAGAAGCACCGGCCAACUACGUGCCAGCAGCCGCGGUAAUACGUAGGGUGCGAGCGUUGUCCGGAAUUACUGGGCGUAAAGAGCUCGUAGGCGGUUUGUCGCGUCGUCUGUGAAAUCCUCCAGCUUAACUGGGGGCGUGCAGGCGAUACGGGCAGACUUGAGUACUACAGGGGAGACUGGAAUUCCUGGUGUAGCGGUGAAAUGCGCAGAUAUCAGAGGAACACCGGUGGCGAAAGCGGGUCUCUGGGUAGUAACUGACGCUGAGGAGCGAAAGCAUGGGUAGCGAACAGGAU